UUGCUAGGUUGGUGAAAAUCUGAAAAUUGACCCAAUUUUGUAUAAUAUAUUAGUUUAAGAACAAUAAACAUACAAGCCCACACACACACACACACACAUAUGCACUCCAAAAGUAAACGAGUUGGAAAUGUUUCGUAAUAUUUUCCUCUGAAUCUUCUUUAGCAUGCAUAAGAUUUACCAUUUCCUUUUAAAUAACUUUUAAAAUCAGCUCUAGUCCAUGUUUGCUUAACAAUGUUGUAUCAUUAUAUAAUUUCACAAAGUUUGUGCAUAAUUCUUGCUGAACUUGGUUUGCUUUUCUUUAAUUUAGGUAUGGAGUGAGCAAAUCACGGUUCGACCAAGUCUUCAACGAUGAAUUGAGUCAGAUCAUUAAGGUCUCUCUACGUUUGUUAUAUUUGUUUGGUUUUUUAUUUCUAUAGUUAUAGAUAUUGUUAGUAUGCAUUUGGUUUGGCUUGAUUGGGGUAUAGGAUGAAUUUAAAUAGUACUGAUUUUUAUUAUUUUUUCCCCCUCCAGCUACCAGUUUGUUGUUUGGCACUGUAAAUGUACAAUCGGAAAAAAA
This 556-nucleotide long non-coding RNA is filed under the name Malus domestica (apple). RNAcentral describes it as "long non-coding RNA (MDOM_LNC016037)". Lineage: Eukaryota; Viridiplantae; Streptophyta; Magnoliopsida; Rosales; Rosaceae. The record is from RNAcentral.